AUUGAACGCUGGCGGCAUGCCUUACACAUGCAAGUCGAACGGCAGCAUGAUCUAGCUUGCUAGAUUGAUGGCGAGUGGCGCACGGGUGAGUAAUACAUCGGAACGUGCCCUGUAGUGGGGGAUAACUAGUCGAAAGAUUAGCUAAUACCGCAUACGACCUGAGGGUGAAAGUGGGGGACCGCAAGGCCUCAUGCUAUAGGAGCGGCCGAUGUCUGAUUAGCUAGUUGGUGAGGUAAAGGCUCACCAAGGCGACGAUCAGUAGCUGGUCUGAGAGGACGAUCAGCCACACUGGGACUGAGACACGGCCCAGACUCCUACGGGAGGCAGCAGUGGGGAAUUUUGGACAAUGGGCGAAAGCCUGAUCCAGCAACGCCGCGUGUGUGAAGAAGGCCUUCGGGUUGUAAAGCACUUUUGUCCGGAAAGAAAUGGCUCUGGUUAAUACCUGGGGUCGAUGACGGUACCGGAAGAAUAAGGACCGGCUAACUACGUG
Molecule: ribosomal RNA, 490 nt
Filed under: uncultured bacterium
Lineage: Bacteria
Description: partial 16S ribosomal RNA
Rfam family: Bacterial small subunit ribosomal RNA
Source: RNAcentral